CCUACGGGAGGCAGCAGUGGGGAAUUUUGGACAAUGGGCGCAAGCCUGAUCCAGCAAUGCCGCGUGAGUGAAGAAGGCCUUCGGGUUGUAAAGCUCUUUUGUCAGGGAAGAAACGGCAGUUUCUAAUACAGAUUGCUAAUGACGGUACCUGAAGAAUAAGCACCGGCUAACUACGUGCCAGCAGCCGCGGUAAUACGUAGGGUGCAAGCGUUAAUCGGAAUUACUGGGCGUAAAGCGUGCGCAGGCGGUUUUGUAAGUUUGUCGUGAAAUCCCCGGGCUCAACCUGGGAAUGGCGAUGAAGACUGCAAGGCUAGAAUCUGGCAGAGGGGGGUAGAAUUCCACGUGUAGCAGUGAAAUGCGUAGAGAUGUGGAGGAACACCGAUGGCGAAGGCAGCCCCCUGGGUCAAGAUUGACGCUCAUGCACGAAAGCGUGGGGAGCAAGCAGGAUUAGAUACCCUGGUAGUCCACGCCCUAAACGAUGUCUACUAGUUGUCGGGUUUUAAUUAACUUGGUAACGCAGCUAACGCGUGAAGUAGACCGCCUGGGGAGUACGGUCGCAAGAUUAAAACUCAAAUGAAAUUGACGG
RNAcentral lists this ribosomal RNA (586 nucleotides) under uncultured bacterium. RNAcentral's name for it is "bacterial SSU rRNA". It matches the Rfam family "Bacterial small subunit ribosomal RNA", at positions 338 to 916 of the family's 1533-position model. The record is from RNAcentral.